Non-coding RNA from Otolemur garnettii (small-eared galago), 303 nucleotides. The record is from Rfam. Lineage: Eukaryota; Metazoa; Chordata; Mammalia; Primates; Galagidae.
GCUGGAUGCAGUGGCACGGGACUGUAGUCCCAGCUAUUCGGGAGGCUGAGACAGCAGGAUCGCUUGAGUCCAGGAGUUUCGGGCUGUAGUGUGCUAUGUUGAUCGGGUGUCUGCACUAAGUUCGGCAUCAAUAUUGUGACCUCCCGGGAGUGGGUGGGGGGCACCAGGUUGCCUAAGGAGGGGUGAACUGGCCCAGGUUAGAAACACAGCAGGUCAAAACUCCCAUGCUGAGCAGUAGUGGGAUUGCGCCUGCGAAUAGCCACUGCACUCCACCCUGGGCAACAAAGUGAGACCCCGUCUCUU